CCUACGGGAGGCAGCAGUGGGGAAUAUUGGGCAAUGGAGGAAACUCUGACCCAGCGACGCCGCGUGCGGGAUGAAGGCCUUCGGGUUGUAAACCGCUUUCAGCAGGGAAUAAGCGCAAGUGAAGGUACCUGCAGAAGAAGCACCGGCUAACUAUGUGCCAGCAGCCGCGGUAAUACAUAGGGUGCAAGCGUUGUCCGGAAUUAUUGGGCGUAAAGAGCUCGUAGGUGGUUUGUUACGUCGGAUGUGAAAAUCAGGGGCUCAACCCCUGACCUGCAUUCGAUACGGGCAAGCUGGAGUUUGGUAGGGGAGACUGGAAUUCCUGGUGUAGCGGUGGAAUGCGCAGAUAUCAGGAGGAACACCGAUGGCGAAGGCAGGUCUCUGGGCCAAUACUGACACUGAGGAGCGAAAGCGUGGGGAGCGAACAGGAUUAGAUACCCUGGUAGUCCACGCCGUAAACGGUGGGCACUAGUUGUGCGAACCUUCCACGGUUUGUGCGACGCNGCUACGCAUAGUGCCCGCCGUCGGGAGGUACGAGUCGCGAGAGUUAAACGUACGAAUUAGUUAAGUUAGUUACGGCGUGAGACGUUGCCGACGGACGACGACGAGGGGAGGUUAGG
This 617-nucleotide ribosomal RNA is filed under the name uncultured bacterium. RNAcentral describes it as "bacterial SSU rRNA". The stretch from base 1 to 520 matches the Rfam family "Bacterial small subunit ribosomal RNA", at positions 338 to 873 of the family's 1533-position model. The record is from RNAcentral.